UACGUAGGGUGCGAGCGUUGUCCGGAAUUAUUGGGCGUAAAGAGCUCGUAGGCGGUUUGUUGCGUCUAUCGUGAAAACCUGCAGCUUAACUGUGGGCUUGCGGUGGAUACGGGCAGACUUGAGUUCGGUAGGGGAGACUGGAAUUCCUGGUGUAGCGGUGGAAAUGCGCAGAUAUCAGGAGGAACACCGGUGGCGAAGGCGGGUCUCUGGGCCGAUACUGACGCUGAGGAGCGAAAGCGUGGGGAGCAAACAGG
This 254-nucleotide ribosomal RNA is filed under the name uncultured bacterium. RNAcentral describes it as "partial 16S ribosomal RNA". It matches the Rfam family "Bacterial small subunit ribosomal RNA", at positions 524 to 776 of the family's 1533-position model. The record is from RNAcentral.